Long non-coding RNA from Lytechinus pictus (painted urchin), 2526 nucleotides. RefSeq lists it as uncharacterized. The record is from RefSeq and is a predicted model, not a curated record. The transcript has 4 exons. NCBI's taxonomy places the organism in Eukaryota, Metazoa, Echinodermata, Echinoidea, Temnopleuroida, Toxopneustidae.
AAGUCAUUGGCCCGAAUUCACAAAGGUGGUUUUUGCAGAAACCAUGGUUUCAACCGUGGGUUUUGCUGAUUUUGGUAUUCACAAAGGUGGUUUCAAAUGAAACCAUGGUUUCAACCGUGGGUUUUCGGCAUGAUUUUGAGUCAACUGUUUUAGGUGGUUUCAAACCGUGGGUUUUAGAAAAACCAUGGUUUUUAGGCACAUUGACCAAUCACAGAACAGUAUUUCGGUACAUUGCUGAUCAAGUGGAGAUAGACGACGAUAAAUAGAUUUACACGAAAAAAAAAGAAGCGAAGCGUCAACAUCGGUAUUUGCCGAGCUGUGCGAACAUCUAAAUUUUCGAAUGGAUGAAAACAUCUUACAACAUGUGCAGGCUGUCCUGAAAGAAUAAGGAGGAUUGUUAUAGAGGAAUAUGCCAACCAGAACUGCAAUUAGGAGUCAUUGACAGGAGGAACCUUUGUGACUUGUACGAGGAUGAAGCUUUCAAGCACACCAUUGCUUUUAAAAGAGACCACACGCUACCUCAUCAACAUGCUUGAAGAUGAUCUGAGCCUGAGGAGGGACAAAGGGCCUAGUGAUCUACUACCUAUGUAUCUGCAAGUAUUGACAAUUCUGCAUUUGUAUGCUAGUAAGGUGCAACUUCAGGGAAUACAGGGUGAUGAGACAUCAGUGUUGCAAUCAUCUGUUUGUUGAGUGAUCAGAUGUUUCGCAAGCCAUAGCAUGAAGAAAGGUUUUGUGAGAACUUUAACAACCAGAGAUGAGAUUGAGGCUACCCAACAACAACUGUAUGAAUACCAGUACUACAGGAAUUCAAGAGUCAUAGGUGUGAUCGAUGGGACCCAUGUCUAUAUAAGAUAAUAAGAAUUCCUGGAGGGAAUCGUGCUUUGUACUUUCUUGAAGGGCAAGUCCACCCCAACAAAAAGUUUCUAUGAUAUAAUAGAGAAAAGUCCAAUGAGCAUAACACUGAAAAUUUUUCUUGAUCCAUUUAAAUCAAAUUUUUGUUCAGGUGGAUUUGCUCUUUAAUGAGAAGAACAGGUAUUUGUGUGUUUCCUUUGUAAAAUAGCACAGGAUUACUUACAAUUUCACAUGAAUACAAAGGAAAAUCCUGUAAUCUAUUUUUCAACUAUUUAAAAUUAACCUUUCUUUAUCACUAUCGGGUGUUUUUCAAGGAAUACAUGUAUUUUCAAUGAUUUUUUUUAAUUUAAAGAACACAGUCCUGGAUUAAAAAAAAAAACACAAUUUAAUCACAAAGCAUCAAAUAUGUAAAUACCUCAUUUAUUUUUCUUAAAAUGCAUGCAUCUGAUUACUGUUUGAUGUACAGUACAUCAAAAAUGUCUUUCAGCUUCCAUUGUAAUGAAUUGAUAAGAAAAUGAGAUGCAAACAAAAUAUGGAAGCACAUUUUCCAGCAUAAAUACAGAGCAAUAAAUAAAUAUUAUUUGUAUGUACAAGAAAAUAUAUCAUACCUGCGUACAUGUAUAAAUAUAAUCCAUUUUCACAUUGUAAAUUGUCAUAUGGCUUUUUGCACUUGUAUUUCGUCUGUUUCAGUGCAUUUAUAAUGUAUAAAUAAACUAGUUUUAGCACAAUUAAUUGCUUGAAACCAGUUGAUCUUUCUUAAAUAGGUAAAAUCAUCAUAGACAGUUGGUUUGUACAGUCAUCAGAAUGUUGGUAUAUUAGAAUGGAGAGUUGUUCAAGUGUGACAUGGCACGUCUUACCAUUAGGAAGAUCUUUAAUUCUCUAUAGUACUGCAGAUCUCACCAUUCAAAUACUAAAAAAAUGUCUUUUUGUUUGGACAAUUUAAUCGGUUUCAUCACUUUUUUCUUUAACUUUCAUGUUUUUACAAAUGCUGAAUCCUUGAGCUUUCAUUCUCCUUUAAGAAAUAAAAGUCAACACCCUGUGGAAAUUAAUAAUGAAAUUAGUAGUAAGCAAGGAAGUACAAAUGUUAAUCAUCUUUUACUUAGUUACCAUAUCUAUAGCUGUUCAAAUAUUUAUUUCUGUAUAUACAGUAAUAACACACAUUAAUUGGUUAAUUACAGCCAAUAAUAGUGUACAUGUGUUGAUAUUAAUCUUCCUUUUCAGUCAAAUCAAGAGCCUCUUUGUACUUGACCUCCAAGGUACUUUUUUCCAAGUUCAUAAUUUCCAUCUUAAGAGCAUGUUCCUCUCUCAUCAUUUGGAUCUUCAGUUGAUGCUCCUCCUGUAGGGAUUUCAUUCUUAAGGCAUGUUCCUCCUUGGAUAUUUCGAUCAACACUUCCUCCGCUGUCAUCUUAGCCUUCUUCCGCCCUUGACCUUGUGAGGUUGAAUUUCUCUUUGCAGGUGUUACACUUCUCUGAUUUUCUUCAAAUCUGUAUAAAUUCAGUUUUAAAAGAAAAUAGUUUGUUUCAUAUUGUAUCACUGGAGCUUCUCCCCUCCAUUUUUGGAUAUGCACACAACCUUUAAUCCUAAAUAGACUGGGCUAUUUCGACGCCUAAGAAGACUGGGGGGGGGGGCUGAUUCAGCCCCUCCCCCUUAUGAUCUCGGCCGUCGAUUGCGGCG